RNAcentral lists this ribosomal RNA (435 nucleotides) under uncultured bacterium. RNAcentral's name for it is "partial 16S ribosomal RNA". It matches the Rfam family "Bacterial small subunit ribosomal RNA", at positions 28 to 507 of the family's 1533-position model. The record is from RNAcentral.
GAUGAACGCUGGCGGUAUGCUUAACACAUGCAAGUCGAACGGACUCUUCGGAGUUAGUGGCGGACGGGUGAGUAACGCGUGAGAAUCUGGCUUUGGGUUCGGGACAACCACUGGAAACGGUGGCUAAUACCGGAUGUGCCGAGAGGUAAAAGAGAAAUUGCCUGAAGAUGAGCUCGCGUCUGAUUAGCUAGUUAGUGAGGUAAAGGCUCACCAAGGCAGCGAUCAGUAGCUGGUCUGAGAGGAUGACCAGCCACACUGGGACUGAGACACGGCCCAGACUCCUACGGGAGGCAGCAGUGGGGAAUUUUCCGCAAUGGGCGAAAGCCUGACGGAGCAAUACCGCGUGAGGGAAGAAGGCUCUUGGGUUGUAAACCUCUUUUCUUAGGGAAGAACAAAAUGACGGUACCUAAGGAAUCAGCAUCGGCUAACUCCGUG